CAGUAGCCGCGGUAAUACGAAGGGGGCUAGCGUUGUUCGGAUUUACUGGGCGUAAAGCGCACGUAGGCGGACUUUUAAGUCAGGGGUGAAAUCCCGGGGCUCAACCCCGGAACUGCCUUUGAUACUGGAAGUCUUGAGUAUGGUAGAGGUGAGUGGAAUUCCGAGUGUAGAGGUGAAAUUCGUAGAUAUUCGGAGGAACACCAGUGGCGAAGGCGGCUCACUGGACCAUUACUGACGCUGAGGUGCGAAAGCGUGGGGAGCAAACAGGAUUAGAUACCCGCGUAGUCCCUGUCUCUUAUAA
RNAcentral lists this ribosomal RNA (301 nucleotides) under uncultured bacterium. RNAcentral describes it as "partial 16S ribosomal RNA". It matches the Rfam family "Bacterial small subunit ribosomal RNA", at positions 509 to 809 of the family's 1533-position model. The record is from RNAcentral.